CGCUAGCGGCAGGCUUAACACAUGCAAGUCGAGGGGUAUGGUAGCAAUACCAGAGACCGGCAAACGGGUGCGGAACACGUACAGAACCUACCUUGAUCUGGGGCAUAGCCCGGAGAAAUCCGGAUUAACUCCCCAUAAUAUAUAUGAGUGGCAUCACUUGCAUAUUAAAAAUUUAUUGGAUCGAGAUGGCUGUGCGUCCCAUUAGCUAGUUGGUAGGGUAACGGCCUACCAAGGCAACGAUGGGUAGCUGGUGUGAGAGCACGACCAGCCACACGGGCACUGAGACACGGGCCCGACUCCUACGGGAGGCAGCAGUGAGGAAUAUUGGUCAAUGGACGCAAGUCUGAACCAGCCAUGCCGCGUGAAGGAUGAAGGCCUUCUGGGUUGUAAACUUCUUUUACCUGGGAAGAAACCUCUUUUUUCUAAGAGAGUUGACGGUACCAGAGGAAUAAGCACCGGCUAACUCCGUGCCAGCAGCCGCGGUAAUACGGAGGGUGCAAGCGUUAUCCGGAUUUACUGGGUUUAAAGGGUGUGUAGGCGGGCUUUUAAGUCAGUGGUGAAAUCUCCGGGCUCAACCUGGAAACUGCCAUUGAUACUAUUAGUCUUGAAUUUUGUUGAGGUAGGCGGAAUAAGUCAUGUAGCGGUGAAAUGCUUAGAUAUGACUUAGAACACCAAUUGCGAAGGCAGCUUGCUAAACAAAUAUUGACGCUGAGGCACGAAAGCGUGGGGAUCAAACAGGAUUAGAUACCCUGGUAGUCCACGCCCUAAACGAUGAUUACUCGACAUACGCGAUACACAGUGUGUGUCUGAGCGAAAGCAUUAAGUAAUCCACC
RNAcentral lists this ribosomal RNA (833 nucleotides) under Bacteroidetes bacterium SCGC AAA206-D16. RNAcentral describes it as "bacterial SSU rRNA". It matches the Rfam family "Bacterial small subunit ribosomal RNA", at positions 34 to 873 of the family's 1533-position model. Lineage: Bacteria; Pseudomonadati; Bacteroidota. The record is from RNAcentral.